GACGAACGCUGGCGGCGUGCCUAAUACAUGCAAGUAGAACUCAGUUGCGAACGGGUGAGUAACGCGUAGGUAACUGCCUGGUAGCGGGGGAUAAAUAUUGGAAACGAUCACUAAUACCGCAUACUACAAGAUGGACCUGCGUUGUAUUAGCUAGUUGGUGGGGGAACGGCUCACUAAGGCAACGAUACAUAGCCGACCGGAGAGGGUGAGGGGCCACACGGGGACUGAGACACGGCCCAGACUCCUACGGGAGGCAGCAGUAGGGAAGCGUCGGAAAUGGGGGGAACCCUGACCGAGUAACGCCGCGGGAGUGAAGAAGGUUUUUGGAUCGUAAAGCUCUGUUGUUAAGGAAGCGGUACUUAACCAGAAAGGGACGGCUAACUACGUGCCAGCAGCCGCGGUAAUUC
RNAcentral lists this ribosomal RNA (407 nucleotides) under uncultured bacterium. Its description in RNAcentral is "partial 16S ribosomal RNA". It matches the Rfam family "Bacterial small subunit ribosomal RNA", at positions 28 to 526 of the family's 1533-position model. The record is from RNAcentral.